Molecule: ribosomal RNA, 440 nt
Filed under: uncultured bacterium
Lineage: Bacteria
Description: partial 16S ribosomal RNA
Rfam family: Bacterial small subunit ribosomal RNA
Source: RNAcentral
CCUACGGGAGGCAGCAGUGGGGAAUAUUGCACAAUGGGGGAAACCCUGAUGCAGCGACGCCGCGUGAGUGAAGAAGUAUUUCGGUAUGUAAAGCUCUAUCAGCAGGGAAGAAAAUGACGGUACCUGUUUAAGAAGCCCCGGCUAACUACGUGCCAGCAGCCGCGGUAAUACGGAGGGGGCAAGCGUUAUCCGGAUUUACUGGGUGUAAAGGGAGCGUAGACGGCAGCACAAGUCUGGAGUGAAAUGCCGGGGCUUAACCCCGGAACUGCUUUGGAAACUGUGCAGCUAGAGUGCAGGAGAGGUAAGUGGAAUGCCUAGUGUAGUGGUGAAAUGCGUAGAUAUUAGGAGGAACCCCAGUGGCGAAGGCGGCUUACUGGACUGUAACUGACGUUGAGGCUCGAAAGCGUGGGGAGCAAACAGGAUUAGAUACCCUUGUAGUC